UACGUAGGGUGCGAGCGUUAAUCGGAAUUACUGGGCGUAAAGCGUGCGCAGGCGGUUUGCUAAGACAGGUGUGAAAUCCCCGGGCUUAACCUGGGAACUGCGCUUGUGACUGGCAGGCUAGAGUACGGCAGAGGGGGGUGGAAUUCCUGGUGUAGCAGUGAAAUGCGUAGAUAUCAGGAGGAACACCGAUGGCGAAGGCAGCCCCCUGGGCCUGUACUGACGCUCAUGCACGGAAGCGUGGGGAGCAAACAGGAUUAGAUA
This 261-nucleotide ribosomal RNA is filed under the name uncultured prokaryote. RNAcentral's name for it is "partial 16S ribosomal RNA". It matches the Rfam family "Bacterial small subunit ribosomal RNA", at positions 524 to 784 of the family's 1533-position model. The record is from RNAcentral.